ACCAGACUCCUACGGGAGGCAGCAGUGGGGAAUAUUGGGCAAUGGGCGCAAGCCUGACCCAGCAACGCCGCGUGAAGGAAGAAGGCUUUCGGGCUGUAAACUUCUUUUGACAGGGAAGAGCAGAAGACGGUACCUGUCGAAUAAGCCACGGCUAACUACGUGCCAGCAGCCGCGGUAAUACGUAUGGAGCAAGCGUUAUCCGGAUUUACUGGGUGUAAAGGGAGCGUAGGCGGCCUGCCAAGUCUGAUGUGAAAUACCGGGGCUCAACCCCGGGGCUGCAUUGGAAACUGGCAGGCUGGAGUGUCGGAGAGGCAGGCGGAAUUCCUAGUGUAGCGGUGAAAUGCGUAGAUAUUAGGAGGAACACCAGUGGCGAAGGCGGCCUGCUGGACUGCAACUGACGUUGAGGCUCGAAGGCGUGGGGAGCAAACAGGAUUAGAUACCCCCGUAC
RNAcentral lists this ribosomal RNA (448 nucleotides) under uncultured bacterium. Its description in RNAcentral is "partial 16S ribosomal RNA". It matches the Rfam family "Bacterial small subunit ribosomal RNA", at positions 330 to 793 of the family's 1533-position model. The record is from RNAcentral.